UAAAAAAAAAAAAAAAAAAAUCACCUUAUUCAUGGGAAAAUGGAAUGGGAUGACCAUUUGCAGUGCUUUGGUCAUUAUUGCUGUAUCAUAUGAAUUAGCUAAGUAAAUCAUGCAAUAACCUGCAACAGCAACUAUGGAGCAGUGAUGUGCCAAAUUUAGUUUCCUUUAGAUGGGUUGUGUGUCUACUGUCUAAACAACUCAGAUGUAUAUAGGCUGAAGCUUUGGACACAUACUAUGGGAAAAAGGGAAAAAAGAAAGGACAACAAGAAAAAUAACAAAUAAAUAAAUGUGUCUGCUUUACAACUCAAAGACUCUCAAGUGAAACCUGAUUGAUGGAACAUGUAAAAGUUGUCAAAAGAGUUUAUGCAUCCUGUCACUAAAUUCACUUAAUUGCCACUAGACAAAAGUAUGGAGGGAAUUCGUAGUUCUAAUCAAAUUCUGUUUCCAGUCUGCUUUGCAUUGUAGCUUAACCCAAAAGUGCUCCCUUUUGAAUUUCUAGUGGCUUUUUUUACAUAUUCAAACUGCAUUAAUAAGCAUUCUUUUAUUUCUUCCACUUUAUGUGCUCUUUCAGUUGCUCCUAGAAGAAUUUAUUUUGAUUCCAUGCUUUAUCGGUCAUACCCCUUUUAAUUUUAAAUGCUAUCUUGAAUCUAAAAUGUCAUGCAAUCAUCUUAUAAUUUUUGUUUCUGCAUUUGUUAUAGGUAAAAAUGCCUGAUAAGUAGUGUUUUCUCUAUAUUAAUAAAGAAACCAAUGAACUUUUGCAUUCUACCUGGAAUACUAUUGGGAAAAACCCAACUCAAAUAUUAAGAAUCUGAUCAGAUUUCAUUUGAAAAAAUCACAAAGUUAUAUAUCUUUGCAUGUAAUUUGUGCCAUUGGAAGUUGCAUAUGUGGAUAUCUCGAGUUCAGGAUUCAACUCUCUUGAGACUUAUGAUUCUAAUAGCUGAUGAUUGUUGACUGAAUUACUAAAGCUGGCAUGGAUUUAGGAAAACUAUUUUGCUUUAAGGUGUGGCAGAGAUGCAAAAUGAUGAUAGUAUUGAAUUUUCUAUUUGUAUAGAUGCUACAUGGCACAGCAGAGAAGACGUCCAAAAAGCAUUGAUGGUUGCAGAAUAUGAGAAGGCGCAAAGAACAGCAGCUGCCAAGGUUAAUCAGAUGUGCAAGGGCGUCGAGAAAGGACAGAAUUUCUCAGCAGAUUUUAAUUUAGAAAGUGGGGAGCUUGCUCCAAUGUUUUUCCCUGGCCCCUUUGCAAUUGCUCACCACUUAAUCUCUUCUUGGGUUAAUCAAUCUUCAACAAUUGGAG
RNAcentral lists this unclassified non-coding RNA (1294 nucleotides) under Hevea brasiliensis (rubber tree). Lineage: Eukaryota; Viridiplantae; Streptophyta; Magnoliopsida; Malpighiales; Euphorbiaceae. The record is from RNAcentral.